UGGAGACAGCCCUUCACAUCAGCGCCGUGAGGGCAGGUUUCAAAACACUUUAUUCUCUACUCCUGUGACCUGAGAAAGCCACCAUCUUCGCACUGGGCUGCCUUAGAGAAAGGUCGUGGCAGGUGAUCUGUGCCGGGAGCCGGGGAGCCUGCCCUUGCCCAGCUGCCCUGAGCUCUUGUAGGAACGCAGCGCGCGCUCUUGUGGUGGAACGCGCACCAGGCACAGCAUCUGGCACGUAGAAGGGAAACGAGUGUGAAAAAAGAAUUGGGACCACCAGGGAGACAUGCCACAGAGUCAUCAGGGAGGACCACCAAACAUCCUUCCAGCUACCAGUUAAAGCAUUGAUAAUGUUGGCAGGCCUCUACAGCAGCUGAAUCAAGAAAGCAGAACUGCGGGGACUCUCACCCAGCAAUUAACGGUCUCAGCCCAGCAUUGAGGCACGUCCCUCCUGCUCACAACUGAUUGGCUAGAAUUAGUCACAUGACCUCAUCCGACCAGGAGGGUCCAGGAAGUGCAAUCCAGCCAUGUGUCCAGAGGGGGAGAAUCAGCUUAUGGGUCCUUUUAGUGACUCGAAAGCCAAGACCCUCUUUGGGAACAGUUUGGAGGAGCUACAGCUCUGAGGAGUUCCAGAAGCUUGCCGUUAUUGAGAACCUUUUUAUAGAAAGUGGGCAUCGCUGCCUCGCUGCCAUUAUGUUUUUUUUUUUCGUAAAAUCUUUCCAGAUUUUUAAAUAUUUAUUUAUUUGACAGAGAGCAAAGAGAACACAAGCAAGGGGCGGGGCAGAGGGAGAGGGAGAAGCAGACUCC
Molecule: long non-coding RNA, 804 nt
Organism: Ailuropoda melanoleuca (giant panda)
Lineage: Eukaryota; Metazoa; Chordata; Mammalia; Carnivora; Ursidae
Exons: 3
Source: RefSeq, a predicted model, not a curated record